RNAcentral lists this long non-coding RNA (20635 nucleotides) under Malus domestica (apple). RNAcentral's name for it is "long non-coding RNA (MDOM_LNC013712)". The record is from RNAcentral. Lineage: Eukaryota; Viridiplantae; Streptophyta; Magnoliopsida; Rosales; Rosaceae.
GUUGAGGCAUAUUAUCGUAACCGUAAUAGAAAUCAAGAACAACAGCAGCCUGCACCAGUUGAUGAUAGAGAUUCUUUCUCAAGUAUUGCAGCUGUUAUAAAUUCAGAGAGCCAACUGGACACAGCUGUGGAAAUUGAUUCCAUGGUUUCCCUUUCAACUUCAUCUUCCAGAAGAAGAAAUGAUUCGUCAAGAGUUUCGGACAUGGACAGUGGAGAUUCUCGUGCCCACAGAAGAAGAAGACUUAACUGAAAGCAUCUUCUUCAGCCCACAGUAGCCUGCACCAGUUGCUGAUAGAGAUUCUUUCUCAAGUAUUACUGCUGUUAUAAAUUCAGAAAGCCAACUGGACACUGCUGUGGAAAUCGAUUUCAUGGUUUCCCUUUCAACUUCAUCUUCCAGAGGAAGAAGUGAUUCGUCAAGGGUUUCGGACAUGGACAGUGGAGAUUCUUGUGCCGCCAGAAGAAGACUGAACUGCAGCAUCUUCUUCAGUUCACCAAACGUUAUCCUGUAUGUGCUCUUUGACUUUUAUUUUAUUACCCUUUCCUCCUCUUAAAUGCCUUUCCCAGUUCAGACUCUAGGAAGUAUUCACCUUUGCCGUAACCUUUGUCCUUUGACUUUGAUGAAGUGUGAUUAUGGAACUUCCGCAGCUAUCUGCUUGAUUUAUUUGUUUUAGAUUUUCAUAUAAUGAUCCUCCCUUAACCGAAGGAUCUUAGGCUUUCAAUUUGCAUGGCAAAUCAUUGUACACUAGUACUACUAGUAGGCCAGUUUCGUAGUUCCAUUGUAAAUAGACUCAUGAACUUCUUACGCUAGCGUUCAUUUGGCAUAAUUCUCUAUAAUAUUUAAACUCGCUUCUAUUAAUCCUUUGAUUCUGUGGAAAACCUGCAUGCCUUGUACUUUCCUUUUUUCGAUAUCUAGGCAUAUAAACUGCCCUUGCUUGCUAAUCCUGUCAGUUCAAUUCAACGCUCAAAAGCUUGAUAUAUAGUUGGCAUAUAUGUAUGCUUUUUCAGCCAUGAUCAUGUGCAAGUAGAAGAAAUUGUUAACCUUCUAGCAGGUUGAUUCUGCAUAAACAUGGUAGACAGAUCCCUCGACCAGUGAAACGUACAUACUACUCAUUUUCUUGUCAACCUUUCGUAUCUGCUUCUAUGCUUAACCAGAAAAACUCCAAAUCUAGCCAAAGUUUUAUAUUUUUGCUUCUUUUCAUGUCGCAGACAUCACAAACGACUCAUGAAUAGAUGAACAUACGAAUUCUAUCGACGAAUCGACUGACCUGCUUCAUUUCACAGAGACAGUUAAUAGAAUGAUGAUUAAAUCCUAGCCUCUCUUCUGUACUCUUCUGUACCCAAAAACAGUUUACACUACUAUUUCAGGUUAAUCUGGACCUCCUCCCUCUCUUCUGUACUCUUCUCCUACAUCUUCGUUCCUUUUCCACUUUCUCAAAUCCUAGCCCUCCAAGUUCAGCGUAAGAUGAUGAUUAAACAGCAGGAUGGUAUUCGAGCAGAACUUGCGACUCCGCAUCAGCCAAGGUUAAAAUGGGUGCAAAAACCAUUGUGCUGUCUUAAAAAAUCUCUUCCAUAUUCAUGUCUUAUUGUACGAAAAUUCUACAAUGCGCAGGCGUAUGGGAUUCAUCGAAACAUUAGCCGACUCGAUUUGCAUGACUAGAUUAUGAACCUCAUUCUAGCUGUUUAGACACCGGUGUAUUGUACAAAAUUCUUUUUUUAUUGUAAUCCUGCUGCUUUUAUCUUCGUCACAUGAGCCAUGGUUUUCUAGGUUUAUAUAGCGGUCACUACUUAAUGGGAUAAGGUUUUGUCGUCGUUGUAGUAUACGAGCGUCAAAGAAGAAAAAUAUCUUUUGAGCACAAGUAUACAGGAUUUGCAACAGCAAAAACUCUUAGUCUUGUGAUCUAUGAAGUAAACAUGCAAAAGACAAAAUUUCAAGCGAUACCAUGGAUACAAAUUCUAAUCUUGCGGUGAAUGUUCAAGGAUCAAGUCUAAAUUAGGGUAAAAGUUCGGAGACUUGUUGGGGUUCUAUGUUCUGUUACGUAAUCAAAUUGACGAAAAAUCUACAAAGUAACCAAUAGUGGAUUUUUUUUGUUAAAUUCAAGGACCUUUUGGUUCAGCGAUCAAACUUAAUCUAGAAUGAGUUCAAUGAUCAAAUCUAAUCUAGAAUGAAAGUUCAGAGACCGAUCCUACGUUUUGAUCCACAAAUUUGUUCCACCAAAGAAAUUCGGGCUAAAAUUAUUAAACCAAGCAAGCCAGACACUUGGACAGUUCUUGGAAAGGAAGAACCGAAAGUUACCUUACAAGAAAGUUGGGACUUUUUUAUUUCCACGUCAAUUGUUUGGUCCAAACUUCCAUAUCGUUGCAUAUCGACAGCAGGAGAUUUCAAAUCCAAAGCGUUGUAUGCGAUUUGCUGCUACUUUUUUCAACUGUUUAUAAAUACUUUUAAAAUGAUUGAAAGUAUUUUUUUUAUUAACAUAAUCUAUAACCGAUCCCUAAUAAAAAUGCAAGUGAAUUCUGAAAAACAUUUGGAUCCCAAACACAAUUUAACCGAAAACGUUUUCAGUCAGUCAUUUUAAAAAUACUUCCAAACGAGCUUAACCAAACACUAGUUCCAUCUAAUUUAGCCACUCGGAUUGCCUAACAUGUAUAUGAUAGUUUCAAAAUCCAUCGGCAUUAGGACUUGUUUGGUGCCUAGUAAUAUUGUACUGGACCAAAGCAGGAAAUGAAUAUUGUUUAUACCAUACUUAGGGCCUCCGUAUUUAGAUCUCGUACAAAUACUCAAGAUACUUAAAUGUCAUUAUGUAAUAAAGGAAUGGGCAAAUAUGUAAUAAGUGAUGAGCCCUUAUUCUAUAAAAUGACUCCUCACCCUCACAAUUAGAGAAGGCCAAUUCCUAGGCCCUCUCACCCCCUCUCAAAGCCUCACUCUCAUUACAGAGGCUCUCACACUCACUCCCCUCACUUCUCAGAGAAAUACAAUAACCAGUGUGGACGUAGCCCAAACCUUGGGGUGAACCACGAUACAUCUUGUAUUAUUUACUUUCUUGCAGAUUCACGGUCGAAUUUACGUUAUUCCAAAACCUCCGGUUUUGUGCAUCAACAAAUAUCAAUGUCUGAAUCUUGUCUAGUUUGAAGAUAGAAGAAAACUUAUUCUUCCAUCCUACCAAAACUGAAUGUAGAGACAAAAUUUAAUAAGUUAUCUAAUUUAAUAUACAAGACACAAAACGAAACAAGACCUUAUAUAUCUAGGUUAAUUAUGGCUUUAAUCUAAUUAUUGUAAGCAUUGCUCGUUAUUAUUUUACAAAUUAUGCAGAAAAUUAAUUAGCUAGGUUCUGUUUGGUAUGCCAUAGAAAGUGUAGAAACACACGGUUUCUAAUCACCUAUCCCUUGGUUGGAACUGCAUCUUUAUCCAUGACUCAUGGCGAGCCAUGCCGAUAUAGUAGUUCUGGCUUCAGCUACCUUAUGUCUAUGGCAUCGCAAUCUUGACUUUUGAUGCCCAUGAUAGACCGUGUUUAUCAUAUGCUGGGACACACAGACACUGAUAACCACAAUAAUAGUAGACUAGUAGCAGCGAAUUGUAGGGCAGUCCGAAAAUCCUGCACAACAAAAACAAAAUGCAAUCAAUCUUCACUUCUCAUAUUUUCUAAAUUUUAGUCAAGACCGAUACUAGCACAACUCUUUAUAUUUGUCAAGUCUUUGAGUCUUAAAUUACUUACAGUUUAGUUUCAAAACCGUAGUUCAUCUAAAGUGCGAAUUCUCAUAUUAAUGGAAACAUGAGUACUGUUAGAUUGACGAGUUUAUAUUUCUUUACUAGGUAUAGGGUUUUUUUUUUUUUUCUUCUUGUUUUUGUAAUCACAGUCUAUUGAUUUAUUCCCGUUUAAAUGAUUAGUAACACUAAAGAUAUACCAAUCAAUCUAUUGGAUUCUCCAAAUCUGACUCUAUCACUCUGCAGAUUAAUAACAUAUGUGGGACCGCAGGUCCCAUUGACACAGGUAAAUAGUAUUGUUGCUACUUGCUUGGUUUGAUGAUGACGACGACGAUUCUGUUUGGGAUAUGAUGUUGGACAUAUGAAGCCCGGAAAGUGUGAGAAAAGAGAAUGGGAGCAAGAUGAUUGGAGAAGGCAAAGGCCAUGAUUGAACACACGGAGAGUGUGUUUUAAGCCAUCCCCUCCCCCUUGCGGCAUUGUCCCAUGGUCAACAAUCCUAGCUUGUCCUUACGCAAGCAUAUCAAUUUAUAUUUUUACAGUCGAAUAAUAUAAGUUAUCUUUAACUUUUGAAAAAACUAAGAGAUAUAGGAGAAAUAAAGUUCAUCUUAUUUGGUAUUACUCUGGCACUAGUUAUGAGAGUCGUCAAUCUCUUCCUAAAUUUUAUGUUGCCAAAAAAAAGUUUCAUCAUUAUUUCGUUCACACUCAACAUCUUAACAGAAUUGAAUUUUUCCUAGCUAAGGGAAAUGAGAAUAGGACUAUGGUCAAAGAAUCGUUGGCAACUGUCGAUUGAAAUCAACAAGAACAAUAGUAUUUCGUAAUUCACGACACUCGAGAGGAUUUUUUAUUUUUCUACAAUUGUAACCUUUUUAGAUAUGGGUAAGGACACCGUUUGCUACACUCACGUCUCCCAAGAAAGGUUUGUAAUCUAAGCAAGGUCAAAAUUUGAGGAUUUGAUAAUGCUGGCUGUUGAUGUUUACGGAACUGACCCCAAGGUUGAAAUGGACAAGGAAAUUAUCAAUAAGAUCAUCAUCGAGAAAUUUUUCUAAGGGUCCACACGGAUUUCCUUAGUGGAAACAACAAGCCCGAGGAAGUUGAUUCGGUCUACCCUACAGAUACCUACUAACUCCGCCUACAACUGGUGUUUCCUUAACUUUCUCCAACACGACUUUGGAUGUCAUAAGCGAUUUCCCAACAGAUAUGCCUCUGCCCACCAUUCCUAAGGAACAUAUGUUGCAGAAUAGCGAUCCGAUAUUGAAAGUCAUUCAUCAAAUAAUUACGACAAACUUGAGGCACAAUCCCGACACGAAUUUCUUAUACUUCAAAUAGGAUGUGACUAUUCAGGCUGAAUGAGGAUUGCACAACUGUGCCGAAGGACAUCAGUAAACAGAAGCCAUGACAUCCAAAUGAUAUCAAGGCCAACACACUACUAGAGUAAGAGAAGAUCCUAGGUAUGCUCUGAACAAACCAUUCUCUGAUACCAAACUAACACGCCCCAAUCCCAAUAUCCCCAUAUACCAGGGUAGGCACGUGCUGGUCGACACCCAAGGGUGACGAAGCCAUUUUAAAUAUGCAAACAAAUAAAGAAUAUGCAAUUAGAACGAAAUAUGCCAUUGUACGAACAUGUUCAGAGCAUACAACGACUAAGAAUAAUAUGGAAGAAUUAGUAAGAAAAGAUACGAACAAGGAAAUGAUACCUAUACUAAGAAGACUCGAGGAUACCUAUGUUGUAGAGUCAUGACACCGGGAACAAAUGUCUCGAUUCUAACUCCUGAGGUGGCGCAAAAACCAAAAGGUGAGUGGACAAACUUUUAUAAUAAUACUAAUAAGAAGAAAACAUUUUAUUUCUGAACAUAAUAAGCCCCUGUUUUGAAAACACAUAUAAUACUACAUAAUAGAUUUUCUGAAAACCCUAGCAUGCCAUGAAAAACCAUUUAAUAAGGAAGUGCGUAAAAUCUAGUGCUCAAUUAUAGAAAUAUCAUUGCCCGAAGGCAAUUUUGUAAAACAUCUAGAAAUCACGUCAGUGAGGUACUCACUAGGGGUAUCAUAGUCGCCCAAAUGUAAUACAUGUCCAUCACCUGAAGGUGAAGCUGAAUAACAUGUCCAUCACCCGAAGGUGAAGCUGAAUAACCUGUCCAUCACCCGAAGGUGAAGCUGAAUAAAAUAGCAUAACAUACACAUCAACACUAACCGUGGCUAGUGAAGCUGUCCGACACUGCUUUCGGCAGUUAAGCUGGGGGUAUAUCAUAAACAUCAUCAAUUGUGUCAUAUGGCGAUAGACGUCAUACCCGUGUUGUGUGUAUGUGCCAUAUGAUAACCCACUAGAUAAGUACCAAAAACAUAUCUCAAAACUCGUAUUAAAAUACCGGAGUUCAAAAGCUCAAAGUCACAUCUCAUAAAUCCAUGAUAAAUCAUAUUCAUGAAUCCAUAAAAUAAAUCAUAUUCGCAAUUUCGUAAUAUAAAUAGUAUUCGAAAUCCAUAGAAAUCCAUGUAUGCAAAUCCAAUAAUUUGUAUCCAUUCGUAAAACGUAAUCUCUAUAAAUUAUUAAUAUUUUGUAAACCCUAAAUUAUAGAAAUCCAUAAAUCAUAUUAUAAAACAUACUUAAAUCAUGAAACAUGAGAUGCAUGCUAGGGUAAUGUUUAUAAAAACAUAUAAGUUAAGAAGGGGUCCACUCACAAAUAUUUUAUUGCCCGAGAGCUGCUUGAACUAGCGAGGAGGGUGCCACCUCCCACCGAAGCACCUAAACACAUAUAGAGGCCAUUUAAAAAACUAUACUAAAACGUCAGAAUUUUGGAAAACGGGUGACGAAUUAUGUCACGUCCCGGAUCCGGGGUUGGAAAAAAAAUUAACCCCGCACCCAGCGCACGAGUAAAAGUAAAAUAAAUAAAAGGAAAUUGACACGGGUUGGAAAAAUAAACUCCACUUUUUAAAUAUAACUCCAAAUUCCUCACAGGGUGUACAAAAGUAAUAAAUUAAAAUCCUUAAACUUCUCCUCAAUCACAACCUCAGCUCUUUUAACACAUGUCUUGCCAAAUAACAUCUGUAAAAUAAUAGGUGAGGGGUGAGCAACAACCACCAUCGCUCAAUGAGUAGAAUAUGUAAUAUGUCAAUCAAGCAAUGCAUGUUUACACACACUAGAAAAUACAAUAAUAAUAUCAAAGGUUUAACCACGUAAUUUCAUAUCACAUCAUCCUUUUACGUGUUCAUUACAUCCUUCAUAAAUUGUAACUCACCACGUGACCUCUACUGGCCUUUUUGCCCUAAUGUCCCCGUGUGCAGUUUACAUUUAUCCCUUGGAUUAAUGCAACACUAAAGUUCUCAUACUCCAUGAACAUAUCCAAAUAAUCCACAUAUCACCAUAUUAAUAAUUCCAAAAGCAUUUCAACAAAUCCAACAUGCUUGACUUAAAAUAGAUAGAGAUUUAUAAAUAGAUAAAACCCACUAUAAUUCAUGGUUUUCAUUUAUCAGAAAAUAAGAAUACUUUAAAACACAUUACAUAAACCACUCACCUUGAUAAUCCAAGCUUUGGCAAGACAACCCAACUAACAUCUCUACAAACCUCAAACUCUCUAACCCUAAACUCUCUUGCUUCUCUCUACGUUGAACCUUCGAUGCAUGCUCUGCAUGUUUCCUUGAUAUGCGAAAACAAUGGAGCAUGGCCUUCUAUUUAUAGGUUAGGGAAGCCGGCAACAACUUGGUUGGAAUUGGAUGGUUUUUGGGGUCUCAAAGGCAAGGAUAAACUGGUGUCCUAAAAUCUUUCCACGCAGCCACUUUUUAAUGAAGACUAAGCAACCUAUGCUGCUUAUUCAUCAAACCUAUAAUCACACGUGUAAGAAAUAUAAGUGACUAAGCACUUAAAUAUAUCCACCCUUGCCACCUCCAGGUUCCAUGUUGCACCAUUUAAUUACCAAUAACAUUGGCAUCUAAAACUCUAAAUAAAUAUUUAUUUUAAAAUACGGGGUCUCACAAAUUCGACACGUCAAAAAACGUAAGGAGGGACCUCGGGUUCCCCCACGCGCCGCCGCACUCACCGCCACUAGGCGGUGGCCCCGGAAGCCAUGGUCCCUCGCCUGAAACUGGGAAAGCAGUCCUCAUGGUUUCUGCAUCCCGAGCUCACCAAAAUGAACACGCCGACUUAGGAAUCGAACUAAACAUCGGAAGGAAAAGAGGAGAUGAACCCCAAAGUUUACCUAGCCUACGACCAGUGGAGGCUAUUGGGAAAAACUCAGUGUUUGUUGCAAAGGUCGAGAAUCCUCGAGUUGAUUUUCCUCACGCAUUCAUGUCCUUGAUUCAAGCCUAAAUACAAUGUAAUGGUGGUGAUUCAUGGAGUGACUCGUCGGAGAAAGGUGUGGUGAUUGGGUGUCACCACUGUUGAUGCAGAGGUAAGGCACGGGAAAGUGAUGAGAAAAUAAUAGAGAGAUGAGGGAGAGAUGAGAGGGAGCUGAGGGAAAUAGAGAAGGGGAGAGAAUUCUAGAGAGAGACAGAGAUGUCAUGGGAGGGGGGAAUACAUGGGCCAAAAGAACACCCCAAAAAGUGAAGGGAAACUGCCACGUGUCAAUCUGUGAGUGGUUCAAAGUGAAAUAUCUUUACUUGGUAAAAUUACCAAAAUACCCUUACGUUUCAAAUUCCUUAAAACAUUCAUCGUAACUCCAAACUUGAUUCCACUUGCACUCACGCAUUCGCGAUGACGAGUACUACGAGGAUAUGCCAAGGAAACGAGUCUUACAUGACACGACAAGGUGGUCAACAAAAGUCAACGUUUUACCUCGAAGGGCAUUUUCAUAAAUUUGUCCUUUAAAAUUUAUAAAACUGUAAAAUUUGGAGACGGGUCGUUACAUCAAGGCUAAAAAGUUUGUAAGGGAAUGCUAGUGUAGAAGAAUCCAGAUAGAAUUCUAUAGGGCUAGAUUUUGUAAUCCACGUGGGAUUGUGAUUUACUUGUACGUCAAAUCACAAACUUAUAUAUAUGCACCUUGUGACACUAAUAUAAUUACACUAUUCUCAUAAUUCUACAUGCAUAUAUACUAUAUCAUUUGAUUAACAAAUUUGACCAAUUAAUCUCAUCCAAUAUGUUAGUUGUAAAGUAUUAACAACUCUCACCAACCCACGUGUAUAAUACCAAAGAAACCAGUUGGUCCUGGUUAAGAUGAAGUAUCUUUAUUUUUCCUAACUCUAGAAUUUUGAUUAAUUGCAUGCAUGCAUUACUCUUGUAUGAGUGACUCGGGAGAUUAAUUACUUCGUGUGCAAAAUGUAUCCCUAGUUCUGAAAUUUGUAGGAAUGCACCCACCAUAUACCCUACGUCGCUCUAAUUGUGGAGAAUUAUUAAGCAUCAUCCGGCAGUGAAAGUGGCAAACAUGAAUCGAUUACACUACGGGGGGAGAUUUUUAUUACUUAACUGCUGGCAAAAAAGUUAAUGUUAAUGUAUGUUUGUUUGUAGAUUGGAAAUGUUAAGCAUAAUCGUUCACAUAAAUUUAAUUGGAGUGAGUCGUGUACACUAUGAACACUAAGUUUUAUCCAAAUGUUCAUCGCAAUGUAAAUGUCCUCCGUUCGAGUAUAUGAUCCCAUUACUUUUGUGGCAUAUUUAAAUAUUUGUAAUCAAAAUCAAAAUUGGAGUUAGAUUUCGAUCAGUAUUCUUAUGUUUACUUACUACGUAUGAAUCGAAACAAAAGUGGGGCUUUAAAAGGAAAAAAUAUUCAGCUCCUCUUUUUGGAGGAAUUGAAUUCUUUGUGAGAGGUGGAUUUUUAAUUCCUCAAGAAAGACGGAAUCAAGAAUGCAAUGCUCUAACAUAAUUUCUAAAAUUUUAACGUUAUUGUUAACUGGCAUAUAAAAUAAUGGAUUUUAGUAAUCAUAUUUGUUUCUAUUCCUAUUCUAGGGAGCAUAUGCAUCAUGUCCCGAUUCCGAGUUACUUCCAGGAUCAACAUGUGAUGUAUGUACCUAUUCAAUUAUCAUGCCUUGCUUUCGAGACAUGACAAAACAACCCAACUGUUCUAUAACAUAAAAACUUUUCCUUUUAUUUCAUGGCUGCAUCUAACCUAGGUGUUAGACUUUUCCUUUUAUAAACAUCGACAUUUCUCAUAAUACUUCUAGCAUAAAAACAUAGAGUUCUAGAAUCACUCAUUGGAACUCUAUUAGUAUGAUUCACUAGAUUCUAGACUACUUAACGAACCAUAUAACAACCAUGAUUGUCAUUUGUCAUUCACAUGUGUAACAGUGUUUUCCAAAAACAAUUUCACAAUCUCAAUAAAUAAUCAAUUCCAUGAAUCAAAUAUGCACAAUAUUAACGUUUAACUACGUUAAUCAACCAACAAGACCAAAAGUUACCCUACUAGUUUUAAUAAAGCCAACCUCUGUAAGGUUUGCUGUAUUUACCUACAUGAAAUCCAAGCAAUAGCAUUGUAAUCCCUAAGUUACAAACACAAGCGUAAACUUGAGCAACUUAUAUGCACAAUGAUCUAGAAUUCCAGACGAACUCAAAAGAAUUGAAUAAGAAGUGUGAUUUCGGACUAACUCAAUGAAGUCUAAUGUAAUCAAAUAGGAAGUGAGAUUCCCAACCAACCAACUAAAUCGAAAUGGAGGAUGGUUCUAGACAAACUCCACAUAAUCCAGACAAAGCACAAUUCUGGAUCAACUCAAGAAACCAAGCAAGAAGAGGAAUUUCAGACCAACUCAACGCAAUUCAGACCAAGCACGAUUCCAUACCAACUUAACGAAACCGAAUGAGAAGAGGGAUUCUGGACCAACUCAACGUAAUCCAAAUGAAGCACAAUUCCGAACCAACUCAACGAAACAGAGUAAGAAGAGGGAUUCCAGACUGAAUCAACGAAAUCCAGAUGAAUAAUGGUUCCGGACCAACUUAACGUAAUUGAGUAAGAAGAUGAAUUCCGGACAAACUCAACGGGAUCCUGACGAAAGACGGUUUGAGAUUAACUUAACGGAAACGAGUAGGUAGAGGGAUUUCAGACCAACUUAACGAAAUCCAAACAAAUAACUAUUCUAGACCAACUCAACGAAACUGAAACCGAGUAGGAAGAAGGAUUCUGGACCAACUGAAUAGAAUCCAGACAAAGCACGGUUCCAUACCAACUCAGUGAAACCGAGUAAGAAAAGGGAUUCCAGACCAACUCAACGAAACCUAGUAGGAAUAAGGAUUCUAAACCAUCUCAACAGAAUCUAUACUAAGCACAAUUCUUAACCAACUCAAUGGAGCGAAGUAAGAAGGCAGAUUCUGGACUAACUCAACAAAAUCCAAAUGAAGCACGGUUCUUAACCAACUCAAUAGACCGAGUAAGAAGAUGGAAUUUUGAACCAACUUAACGGAAUCCAUCAAAGAUAGAGUUCUGGACCACUCAACAAAACCGACUAGGGAACCGGAUUCUGAACCAACUUAACGAAAUCUAGAUGAAAGAGUGUUUUGGACUAAUUUAACGGAUCCCAAAUGGAAUACGGUUCCGGACCAACUCAACGAAACCAAAUGGAAAAAGGGAUUGUAGACCAACUUAACAGAAUUCAAACGGAACACGGUUUAGAACAAACUUAAAGAAACAGAGUGGAAUUUAAAUGGAACACGGUUUAGUUUAGAACAUCUCGGAACUAGACAGGGUACUAAUUUGAAGUCACAACUCCCCAUGACAACGGGAUUAACGGUCCCCUAGUAGCCCUCACGUUACACAAACAUUUCAAAUAUACUACGCCAACACACUUCCUAAAUCCUGCCAUAUCCACAAAGUAUACCACAUGGGGAUUUCUAAGUACAACAUUUUAUGUUUCUCUUAUGUACCCAUAUGCUUUUUUGUCAUAACAUAUACCCAGGUGCCAAUAUAUCAAUUUGGGUACAUUUGUAUAUGUACAUUGUGGGUACAUUUAUUAAAUAGGGUUUAGAAAAAUUAUAAGUGCAUAUAUAAAUGUACCCAAACUAAUAUAUUGCAUAUGGGUACAUGUUAUGACAAAAAACCAUACAGGUACAUAUUAAAAAUAGAAAAUGGUGUACCAUUAAACUGUAAAUGAGCCAAAUCGGACUGAAUCAUUGUGCUCUCACAAACCUAAGCAAAGUGACUCUCUUACUAACUAUAAAGACAUGAUUAAUCACCUCAAUAACCAUAUGAGUACAUUCCCUAUUGAACUUUUUAGUUUCAACUAUUUGUAUAAUUCAUCAUGAGAAAACAAGUACAAGGGAGAAGAUCUUAUAUAGAGCUUGAGAGUGGCUUAAAGACCUAUAGACAAAGCCUCAUAUUAGGUCAUAUAAAGAACCAAAAAAUAAUCCUGCUAACCCUGCUUACAAGUUUCAAUAAAACACAAGACCAUGAAUUAAGGAGCAAAUUAAGAGACAAAGGAAAAGUGACAGCUGCAACUCACACAUGUGAUUGUGUGUUGAAGAAGCAAUACAUCACGUCUACAUCACUUCCAAUGUCCAAAAGUGACAGCUGCAACUCACAUCUACAUCACUUCCAAUACUCCCCCUCAAGCUGGAUCAAGAGGGUUAAUUGAUCCAAGCUUGCACAACAACCGUUGAAAUUAUGUAAAGUCUAGAGCUUUCGUGAAAAGAUCAGUAAGUUGAUCAUGGUUUCUAGUGUACACAGUGUUGAUGACAUUGGAUUGAACUUAUGUACGAAUGUAAUGACAAUCAACUUCAAUGUGCUUCGUCCUUUCAUGAAAUACCGGAUUAGAAGCAAUAUGCAUUGCGGCCUGGUUGUCACAAAGCAACAACAUUAGUUUCUUGCUGGUGAAGCCAAGAUUAAAUAGAAGACUCUUCAACCAUAUGAGUUCACAAGCUGCUACUGCCAUGGCCCUAUAUUUAGCUUCAGCAUUGGAUCUUGCAACCACGGUUUAUUUCUUACUCUUCCAGGUGACCGGAUUACCUCCAACAAACGUAUAAAAACAUGUGGUGGACUUUCGAUCAAGGGCAUUACCAGCCCAAUCAACAUCAGUGUAGGCCAUGAUGUGAUUGGACCCACUUUUAUUCAUGAGUAUGCCUCUACCGACCGAACCUUUGAGAUAUCUAAGUAUUCUCUUGACAAUCUCCCAAUGAACCGACGUAGGAGAAUGCAUAAACUGGCUGACAAGGCUCACUGAAUAAGCAAUGUUAGGUCGAGUAAUUGUGAGGUAAAUAAGUUUUCCAACCAUGCGUUGAUAAACACCAUGAUUGGAGAGAGGCUCACCUUUGGCAUCCAACUGAAGUUUGCUAAUAAGGGGAUUGUGAGCAGGUUUACACUCAAGCAUGUGUCCUUCAUCAAGAAGAUCAACUACAUCCUUUCUUUGAUUUAAAAAUAACCCCCUGGAAGAAGUGGCCAUCUCAAUGCUAAGAAAGUAUUUCAAGACUCCUAAGUCUUUAAUGGAAAUUUGUUGAUGUAUGGAGCACUUAAGAGCAUUGAUUUCAUUCACAUUGUCCCCCAUAAUUAUAAGAUCAUCCACAUAUAUAAGCACAACGAGCUUGCCUAGGACACCACUGCGAACAAAUAAGGAGGAAUCAGCAUGACUUCUUUUGAACCAUGCAACUUCAAGAACUGAGCUCAGUUUAGAAUACCAAGCUCGAUAGGAUUGUUUGAGUCCAUAUAUAGCCUUAUAGAGCUUGCAAACUUUGUUAAGUUCACCUUCUCGUGGGUGUCUAUGAGGUAGCUUUAUGUACACAUCUUCUUCAAGAUCACCAUGGAGGAAAGCAUUUUUUACAUCCAUUUGAAACAAGGGCCACUCGUGAUUGACUGCCAUUGAUAGCAACACCUUCACUAUGUUCAUUUUGGCAACCGGGGCAAAAGUUUCCUUGUAAUAAAUACCGUAGGUUUAUGUGAAACCACGGGCUACCAAUCAAGCCUUGUGUCUCUCAAUGGUACCAUUGGAAUUGAAUUUUGUCUUGUAUAUCCAUCUACUCCCUACAGCCUUCUUGCCUUUGGGAAGAUCAACCACACUCCAAGUUUCAUUUUCAUCCAAUGCUUUGAGCUCUUCAUGCAUGGCUUUUGCCACACACGUGUACAUACGGCUUCUUGAAAGCUUCUUGGCUCAAGAUUGUUUGACAACUGGUUGAGAAAUAAUGCAUGGGAGGCCGACAAUUUUUGGUAAGUAAUAGCUUCAGAGAUAUGGUACCUUGCAGAGUACGUAACGUAUUCUUGUAACCUUAACGGGGGAUGUCAAUCUCGAGCAGGGUUCCUUCUUGGUGCUACUACUGAUUGUGGAGUUGCAGCUUGUGGUUGUGGUGCUGGAGCACUGGGUACUUCCUCACUGACCACCUCAUCCAUGUUGGAAUUAAUGAUAUGGUUUGGGGGGUUUGCAUGAAUUUCUCCAGGAGUAAGCAGUGGAAAGGUGUCCAUUAGACUCUCCCCCUGAAGAUUAUUCUCAGAAUCCUUGUGAAAGAAAUGAGUGAGUUCAUCAAACCGAAUAUCCCUAGAGACAACAAGUUUCCCAGUGUGUGAGUUAUAACAUUUGUAUCCCUUUUGAGAACUAGAGUACCCCAUAAAUGCACAUUUCACAGCUCUAAGUUCUAGUUUAUCACGAUGAGUAGCUUGGAUGUGGACAUAACAAGUACAUCCAAAGAUCCUGAGAUGAGUCAAAUCGACGGUUCUUCCUUUCAUGACUUCGAAAGGUGACUUGGCAUUCAACACACGAGUUGGAAGUCUAUUAAUGAUGUAGGUUGCAGUGAGAAGUGUUUGGGACCAGAAUCUCUUGGGAACUUGCAUAUGAAACAUAAGGGACCUUGUUUUCUCCAACAAAUUCCUAUUAUUUCGCUCGGCUACACCAUUUUGUUAUGGUGUACCAACACAACUAGUUUGAUGUAAGAUGCCAUGAUUGCUCAAGUAAUUGGACAUGUUAUUGGAUGUAUACUCGGUGUCAUUUUCUGACCUUAAGGUAAAGGCGAAUUGAUUGGUUAUUAGUUUGUGAAAUUCUUUGAAAGCUUCAAAAAAAUCACCUUUAAACUUUAAAAGAUACACCCAGGUAACCCUAGAAUAAUCAUCAAUAAAAGUGACAUAAUACUUGUAUCCAUCGAAUGACUCAACACGAGAAGGUCCCCAAAUAUCUGAGUGUACAACUUCAAAAAGUUUACUGGUUCUAGACUGAGAGGAUACAAAGGCAGCCUAGUGGAUUUUGACAUUUGACAGGUCUCGCACUCAUGUGUGCUUUUACAAAAAUUUGGAAAUAACUUAGACAUCACUGGUUCUGAGGGAUGAACGAGACGUUGGUGCCAAAGUUGGUACUCCUGGGCAUACUUAGGUUGGCAAUGGGAUCCUUAACAAGAUUGAAAUUCUUUGAGAGGUAGUAUAGACCAUUUAGAAAAAACCCUUCACCAAUCUUCUUCUGAGUGACUCGAUCCUAAAACACAACGUUAUGAGGAGAAAAUAUGGCAAGGCAGUCCAAAGUGUGCAUGAUUUUUCCUAUGGACAAAAGCUGGAAUGGAAAUGAAGGUACGUAAAGUGCAGUGGACUCUACAUCAUUACCCAUCAACCUAAUUUUUCCUUUUCCUAGAACAAGUUCCCCUUUACCAUUUGCUACAUAUACAUGAGUAGGAUCAAUUAAUUUUUGAAACUCAUGUAGACAAGAUGUUUUAUUAGUUAUAUGAUCAGUGGCACCUGAGUCUACAAUCCAAAAAUCAUGUGUGAGAUGUGCAUUGAGAGCAGUGGAGAUUGCACUAACAAUACCUAGGAUAUUGCCGUGCGUUGUGGUAUCUGAACUUGCCAAAAGCCAGCGAAUUUUCCAAGCAUGGCAGUGGAGUUUUCAGUGAUCAUUUUUUCAUUCUCAGUGGUCUCAUUCUUUCUUUGGAGAAAGGCAGCAAAUUCAUUAAUUAAGCAAAUCGAAUUUGAAGUGAAGUUUGUCAUCUCAUCAGUUGAACAACUAGUUGCACGGAGGGCUUUUGGAGCAAACCCUUUUCCAUCUUUGAUCAUUUUCCAUUCCUUGUCAAACUUAGGUUUUAACUCAGGAUGUAAGAUCCAACAUUUUUCCAGUAGGUGCCCCUUAAAGUUGCAAUAUGUGCACUUCCAGUCAGCCUUCUUCCCAUUAAAAAAUCUUUCACCAGAAAUUUUGUGGUUGCUAGUGAAAACCUUAGCCUCAGAGCUAAACUUGGGCUCAAUAUGCAUUACCUUUCUUCGAGUUUCUUCCCUUUGAACUGCAUGACACACGCUGAUGAAUGAUGGUAAUUUUGGGGUCAUUAGCAAAUGACUAUGAAGAUCUUCAUACUCAGCUCCCAAGCUUGCUAACAGUUGAAACACUUUAUCUUCAUCAGCCCUCUUCAAGAGCACAGCGGAUUCGGUUGUGUGUGGACGGUAUAGAUCAAGCUCAUUCCACAUAGAUUUCAUGCUUCCAAGGUGCUGAACGAAGGAUUGGUCACCUUGCUUUAGGCCAGCAAGACUCUUCUUCAGUUCAAAUACACGAGCAGCAUUGUUUUGGCUGCCAUACAUUUCCUUAACAGAUUCCCAUAGUAGGUGUGAAGAUCCUGAAUAGCUAAAGAGCUCCGACAACUUGGGUUCCAUCGAGUUAAGAAUCCAAGACAUUACGAGCUGAUCAUUUGAGUGCCAUGCAUCAAAAGAGAGUGAGGUGGAUUCUGGAGGCUUGAUGGUUCCAUUUACGUACCCUAGCUUCGAUCUUCCUCCUAAGGCAAGAGAGACGGCUCGUGACCAAGGCAAAUAAUUGAACACAUUCAACAAUACUAAGCACAAUCGUUGGUUUGGAUUGAUCUCACCGUGUAUCAUGUUGGUUGUUGUUGAGGUUGAGGAACUUGUAUUCUCAGAACCGAAUGGAUUGCCUUCUGCCAUCUCAACAAAUAAUGAACAGAAGGAAAAAUGAACUAAAGAAAAAAACAACAGAGACAGGACCCUAUGGUUCCUGCUCUGAUACCAUAUUGAACUUUUUAAUUUCAACUAUUUGUAUAAUUCAUCAUGAGAAAACAAGUACAAGGGAGAAGCUCUUAUAUAGAGCUUGAGAGUGGCUUAAAGGCCUAUAGACAAAGCCUGAUAUUAGGUCAUAUAAAGAACCAAAAAAUAAUCCAACUAACCCUACUUACAAGUUUCAAUAAAACACAAGACCAUGAAUUAAAGAGCAAAUUAAGGGACAAAGGAAAAGUGACAGCUACAACUCACACAUGUGAUUGUGUGUUGAAGAAGCAAUACAUCACGUCUACAUCACUUCCAAUGUCCAAAAGUGAUAGCGGCAACUCACGUCUACAUCACUUCCAAUAUACCCUUUUACUCCACCACUUGCCCGAAUAUUACUGGCAUUGUGUGCAAUGUCGUUAUGCAAGCUUUCCUUUCCGAUCCCAGGAUCGGUGCAAGCCUUGUCCGUCUACAUUUUCAUUACUGUUGUCGAUGUAAGCCUCUUACUAAUCUUUCUUAAAGUUAUACUUUAUAAAUUUUUAUUGAAGCCUCAUAUUUUUUUAUUGUGCUAUGAUUUUCUUUUUCAGGGAAGGGAUGUGAUGCUUCAAGUUUGUUAGACAAGAAUGGAAGCAUACUGCAAAGAAAGGAAGAUGCAGCUCCCAACACCAACUUGGCUCGAGGGUUUGAUGUUGGUGACAACAUCAAAACUGCUCUAAAGAAUUCGUGUCCAAGUGUUUCUUCUGCUGACUUUCUGGUCUUUGCAACAAGUGCUUCUUGAAUAAACACCUUUAAGUGUUUUUCCAAGAAGCGUUUUAAGUACAUUUUCAAGAAACACUUUAAAUGCUUUCUAAAGAAGCUUUUCUAAAUGGGUCUUAAGCAAUAUAGUUCGCAAAUUGUGCUUUACAAAAACUGAAAACCUAGUAAUAUGGGUGUAAAUUAAUUAAAACAUAUCAAGCUAGAGGUGUUAAGCGAAUUAGCUUGGCCCGUGAUGUAGUUGGGUUGGCCCACUUAAUAAAUGGGCAAGGCCAACUCUUCCCAUUUAGAUAAAACAUUUAGGCCAUUCCAAACUGCGACCUUGACACAUAAAGGGCUGGGCCACUAAACAAGCCAACUUCUGCCACCCAACUUUAGUUAUUUUAAAUUGUUAAAAGAAGUUAUUUGAACCUAAGUAUAAGCUAAAUAUCACAAAAAGUGCUAUUAGCAUACUAUGUUCACCCACUUUAUAACUAAAACAUAAAGAGGACAAAUCAAUAUAAAGAAGGUGGGAAAAUAGAAAAGGUGAGCAUGCAUAAUAGCACUCUAUGGAAAAUGUCAAGUCUUAUUCCCUCCAAAAUGGAAGGGGAUCCUCUCCAUAUCCCUUCCUCCUAAUCCUCAUGACCCACAAAUUCGGACCCUUGAAAUUUGUUCCAACGGCUAAAAACAAGGGGCUCCAUUAAAAGUUAUAAUAACCUUAACCGUUAGAUCAAAUUUCAAGGGUCCGGAUUGGUGGGUCAUGAGGAUUAGGAGGUAGGGAUUCAGAGAUGAUCCCUUUCCCUCCAAAAUGUAUGUUUGUACAUAAAAAAUCAGUUAUUAAUAUUUAAUUAUGUAUUAAUUUAGAUGGGAUGUCCAUAAUAGACCGCGGAUGUGCUCGACUCAUGAUGGGCCGCAUGUCAACCCAACUUACUCUCUCUUAUGAAUUAUGUCAUGUCAUAAUCCAGUCCAAAACCAGUUGAAACAACAUAAAAGUUCCAUUUGGAAAUCACUUUCUACUUCUACAAGUACCCAACCAAAGCCUAGCGGAAACUCAAUUUGAGCCACUUGAUUUGCAGUACAAGCUGGUCCACAAAUUCCAUCACAGCCGUUCAUCACAAUCACCACCUCCAAAACAAAGCCUUCACUUGUAAACGCCAACGCAAAGGAUUGUCUCUUCUCUCUCUCUCUCUCUCUCCCCCUCCUGCCCCACUGCCCCGUCCUAAAUUCAUUGCCCGUACUAGAUCGCUGAUUAGAGAAAGAGGGCCCUUCAUGACCAGUCGACUCGGGGCAGACUCAACUCAGGCGGGAUCCAACUCACUCUCGAGCUCACUCCAGCUCUAGCUGAUUAUCAACGACACCGUUUCACCAUGACAGGUGUUUAAUUUUCUUUAGUUUUUUGUUUUCUCGGCUUUAGAAACCCUGGAUUUCCAUCUAGAAACUUAUACCAUGGAAAAAUGUCUCCAAGUCGCCAGCUUGAUGGCCCAAUUUUAGCUUGACUUGCUGAUUUCUGUGUUGUGGAUGAAGUUUCCGAUUUGGGUUUUCUCCAAUUAGGGUUCUUUCUCAUCUCGGUUUCUUCAAUUUUGUGGGUUUUCAUACGGAUUUGUUCGUUAUUUUUUGUGCGCCCAAUCUUGUUCAAUUUGGGUGAUUUUUGUGGUUCUGUGAUAUGGGUUUCUUCAGUUUUGUGGUGAAGCUAGGGUUUCUGAUCUGGGUUUGUUAAAUUUGUGAUAUAAUAAGCCUUUUGGUUGUGUUGGGUGAGGAGACGUCUGAUGCAAUGAACCUUGACCUGAAUCUGGGUCCUGGUCCUGAUGCUGGCUUGAUGUCAAAUGACCCUGUAAAUUUUGAUUUGACUCGGGAUGUUAUUCAUCCAUCAGAGCCUGAGAAUACCUGGGAAGCAGCAGAAAGAACUAAUUUGUUAAAUAGGAUUCUGACAUCUCGAGGACUGCGCAGAGAGCAAAAUCCAGUGGUACUUGCAGAUGAUGUUGUGGAUUUAACGCAAAGCAACGUGACUGGUGUUGAAACAAGGGAAAACCGCCAACUUCAGUCCUUGCUACUCAAAAGGACACAAUCGCACAGAGCAACACAAUCUUCUCUCUCGUCUGCAUUGAGUUCUGCUGAAAGGUUUGUUGAGGCAUUUUAUCGUAACCAUAAUAGAAAUCAAGAACAACAGCAGCCUGCACCAGUUGGUGAUAGAGAUUCUUUCUCAAGUAUUGCAGCUGUUAUAAAUUCAGAGAGCCAACUGGACACAGGUGUGGAAAUUUGUUCCAUGGUUUACCUUUCAACUUCAUCUUCCAGAAGAAGAAAUGAUUUGUCAAGAGUUUCGGACAUGGACAGUGGAGAUUCUCGUGCCCACAGAAGAAGAAGACUUAACUGAAAGCAUCUUCUUCAGCCCACAGCAGCCUGCACCAGUUGCUGAUAGAGAUUCUUUCUCAAGUAUUACUGCUGUUAUAAAUUCAGAAAGCCAACUGGACACAGCUGUGGAAAUCGAUUUCAUGGUUUCCCUUUCAACUUCAUCUUCCAGAGGAAGAAGUGAUUCGUCAAGGGUUUCGGACAUGGACAGUGGAGAUUCUCGUGCCGCCAGAAGAAGACUGAACGGAAGCAUCUUCUUCAGUUCACCAAACGUUAUCCUGUAUGUGCUCUUUGACUUUUAUUUUAUUACCCUUUCCUCCUCUUAAAUGCCUUUCCCAGUUCAGACUCGAGGAAGUAUUCACCUUUGCCGUAACCUUUGUCCUUUGACUUUGAUGAGGUGUGAUUAUGGAACUUCCGCAGCUAUCUGCUUGAUUUAUUUGUUUUAGAUUUUCAUAUAAAGAUCCUCCCUUAACCGAAGGAUCUUAGGCUUUCAAUUUGCAUGGCAAAUCAUUGUACACUAGGAGGGCGUUUGUUGCGCCGGACUAUCUCGGACUGAACUAGCUUCAAGGACUAAGCUGGACUGGCUUAGACUAGACUAAGCUAGACUAACUUAGUGAAGCGUUUGGUGCAGUGUUGGACUAAGAAGCUGGAUAAUAACAAAUUCUAAUAUUAUAUUAUUUAAUAUAUAAAUUAUUAAUAUUUUAUUAUGAUCUAGGUGACCGGAGAUGACGAGGAGUCUAUCGGGAGUGGUUGUUGAGCAUGACGAGGACGAGAGAGGAUAGUCUUAGCUAGUCCCAUGAUUAUUGAGGGGUCUCGCUAAGACCUCCUAGUGAAGGGUUUUGUCUAUGCUAGUUCCAUUUAGUCUCAUUAAUGUUAGUCCCAGCAUGGAACAAACACGGUAUUGGACUAACAGCUAGUCCAGUCCAGUCCAGUCCCAAUUAGUGAAGGCAAACAAACGCCCCCUAGUACUACUAGUAGGCUAGUUUCGUAGUUCCAUUGUAAAUAGACUCAUGAACUUCUUAUGCUAGCGUUCAUUUGGCAUAAUUCUCUAUAAUAUUUAAACUCGCUUCUAUUAA